This 496-nucleotide ribosomal RNA is filed under the name uncultured bacterium. RNAcentral describes it as "partial 16S ribosomal RNA". It matches the Rfam family "Bacterial small subunit ribosomal RNA", at positions 29 to 507 of the family's 1533-position model. The record is from RNAcentral.
AUGAACGCUGGCGGCGUGCCUAAUACAUGCAAGUCGAGCGAACAGACGAGGAGCUUGCUCCUUCGACGUUAGCGGCGGACGGGUGAGUAACACGUAGGUAACCUACCUAUAAGACUGGGAUAACUUCGGGAAACCGGAGCUAAUACCGGAUAAUAUUUCGAACCGCAUGGUUCGAUAGUGAAAGACGGCUUUGCUAUCACUUAUAGAUGGACCUGCGCCGUAUUAGCUAGUUGGUAAGGUAACGGCUUACCAAGGCAACGAUACGUAGCCGACCUGAGAGGGUGAUCGGCCACACUGGAACUGAGACACGGUCCAGACUCCUACGGGAGGCAGCAGUAGGGAAUCUUCCGCAAUGGGCGAAAGCCUGACGGAGCAACGCCGCGUGAGUGAUGAAGGUCUUCGGAUCGUAAAACUCUGUUAUUAGGGAAGAACAAACGUGUAAGUAACUGUGCACGUCUUGACGGUACCUAAUCAGAAAGCCACGGCUAACUACGUG